This 371-nucleotide ribosomal RNA is filed under the name uncultured organism. Its description in RNAcentral is "bacterial SSU rRNA". It matches the Rfam family "Bacterial small subunit ribosomal RNA", at positions 526 to 895 of the family's 1533-position model. The record is from RNAcentral.
CGGGGGGGGCAAGCGUUGUUCGGAAUUACUGGGCGUAAAGGGCUCGUAGGCGGCCAACUAAGUCCGACGUGAAAUCCCCAGGCUUAACCUGGGAACUGCGUCGGAUACUGGAUGGCUUGAAUUCGGGAGAGGGAUGCAGAAUUCCAGGUGUAGCGGUGAAAUGCGUAGAUAUCUGGAGGAAUACCGGUGGCGAAGGCGGCAUCCUGGACCGACAUUGACGCUGAGGGAGCGAAAGCUAGGGGAGCAAACGGGAUUAGAUACCCCGGUAGUCCUAGCCCUAACGAUGAAUGCUUGGUGUGGCGGGUAUCGAUCCCUGCCGUGCCGAAGCUAACGCAUUAAGCAUUCCGCCUGGGGAGUACGGUCGCAAGGCU